This 491-nucleotide ribosomal RNA is filed under the name uncultured bacterium. RNAcentral describes it as "bacterial SSU rRNA". It matches the Rfam family "Bacterial small subunit ribosomal RNA", at positions 28 to 509 of the family's 1533-position model. The record is from RNAcentral.
GAUGAACGCUGGCGGCAUGCCUAAUACAUGCAAGUCGAACGAGAGAGAUUAAGAAGCUUGCUUCUAAAUCAAUCUAGUGGCGAACGUGUGAGUAAUACAUAAGUAAUCUGCCUGUAAGACUGGGAUAACUACUGGAAACGGUUUGUAAUACCGGAUGUAUACUUGAGAGGCAUCUCUCAAAGUAAAAGUUUAGAUACACUUACAGAUGAGCUUAUGGCGCAUUAGCUAGUUGGUAGGGUAAUGGCCUACCAAGGCGAUGAUGCGUAGCCGACCUGAGAGGGUGACCGGCCACACUGGGACUGAGACACGGCCCAGACCCCUACGGGAGGCAGCAGUAGGGAAUUUUCGGCAAUGGGCGAAAGCCUGAACCAGCCAAGUCGCGUGAAGGAAGACUGCCUUAUGGUUGUAAACUUCUUUUAUAAAGGAAUAAAAAGUACUACGAGUAGACUAUUGCAUGUACUUUAUGAAUAAGCAUCGGCUAACUCCGUGCC